Molecule: ribosomal RNA, 1395 nt
Filed under: uncultured bacterium
Lineage: Bacteria
Description: bacterial SSU rRNA
Rfam family: Bacterial small subunit ribosomal RNA
Source: RNAcentral
GAGUUUGAUCAUGGCUCAGAUUGAACGCUGGCGGCAGGCUUAACACAUGCAAGUCGAGCGGUAACAGGAGAAGCUUGCUUCUCGCUGACGAGCGGCGGACGGGUGAGUAAUACUUAGGAAUCUACCUAGUAGUGGGGGAUAGCACGGGGAAACUCGUAUUAAUACCGCAUACGACCUACGGGAGAAAGGGGGCAGUUUACUGCUCCCGCUAUUAGAUGAGCCUAAGUCGGAUUAGCUAGAUGAUGGGGUAAAGGCCUACCAUGGCGACGAUCUGUAGCUGGUCUGAGAGGAUGAUCAGCCACACCGGGACUGAGACACGGCCCGGACUCCUACGGGAGGCAGCAGUGGGGAAUAUUGGACAAUGGGGGAAACCCUGAUCCAGCCAUGCCGCGUGUGUGAAGAAGGCCUUUUGGUUGUAAAGCACUUUAAGCAGUGAAGAAGACUCCGUGGUUAAUACCCACGGACGAUGACAUUAGCUGCAGAAUAAGCACCGGCUAACUCUGUGCCAGCAGCCGCGGUAAUACAGAGGGUGCAAGCGUUAAUCGGAAUUACUGGGCGUAAAGGGAGCGUAGGUGGCUCGAUAAGUCAGAUGUGAAAUCCCCGGGCUUAACCUGGGAACUGCAUCUGAUACUGUUGAGCUAGAGUAUGUGAGAGGAAGGUAGAAUUCCAGGUGUAGCGGUGAAAUGCGUAGAGAUCUGGAGGAAUACCGAUGGCGAAGGCAGCCUUCUGGCAUAAUACUGACACUGAGGCUCGAAAGCGUGGGUAGCAAACAGGAUUAGAUACCCUGGUAGUCCACGCCGUAAACGAUGUCUACUAGUCGUUGGGUCCCUUGAGGACUUAGUGACGCAGCUAACGCAAUAAGUAGACCGCCUGGGGAGUACGGCCGCAAGGUUAAAACUCAAAUGAAUUGACGGGGGCCCGCACAAGCGGUGGAGCAUGUGGUUUAAUUCGAUGCAACGCGAAGAACCUUACCUGGUCUUGACAUAUCUAGAAUCCUGCAGAGAUGCGGGAGUGCCUUCGGGAAUUAGAAUACAGGUGCUGCAUGGCUGUCGUCAGCUCGUGUCGUGAGAUGUUGGGUUAAGUCCCGCAACGAGCGCAACCCUUGUCCUUAGUUACCAGCGGGUUAAGCCGGGAACUCUAAGGAUACUGCCAGUGACAAACUGGAGGAAGGCGGGGACGACGUCAAGUCAUCAUGGCCCUUACGACCAGGGCUACACACGUGCUACAAUGGUAGGUACAGAGGGCAGCUACACAGCGAUGUGAUGCGAAUCUCAAAAAGCCUAUCGUAGUCCAGAUUGGAGUCUGCAACUCGACUCCAUGAAGUAGGAAUCGCUAGUAAUCGCGGAUCAGAAUGCCGCGGUGAAUACGUUCCCGGGCCUUGCACACACCGCCCGU